GGGACAGAGACAGACAGAGGCAGGGCUCAGCAGGCGACACAAAAGACGAGUGGGGGGCUGGAGAAACAAGACAGAAAGAAAGACAGGAGAUACGAGGUGAUGGAGGCACAUUGCUGCCCUCCUGCUCAAGGCCCGGCUGACAUCAGGGGGUUCAUGUUUAAAGUCUACGGAAUACACUGAAAGGAGAAGAAGCUGACCCAGCCACACCCACUAUACCCUGGCAUUUGCUGUAGCCAAGGAAAAUGACUCAGCCCCUUCCAGAACCAGCUCCGGCACCGAGGGAAGUGGAAACCCAGGAAGAACAAGGAACCGCUAAUUGCCUGACGCAGACUAAUUGUCGAGCUUCCUUGAGGCCAGGGAGACUGGACCUUAUUUACCUCUGGAUUCCCAAAGCCCAGCACAAGCCCAGCCCCCACAGGCCCUGCGGAGAAGAGGACUGUGCUAACUAAGAAGAGGGAGAAGAAACCACGGCUGAGCAAAUGGGGAAGGCUCCUGGUGCUUCCUCUCCUCAGCAGGCCUUGGGCCACGAAUCCCUGCCUCUGGAGCCGUGGGUGCACGGGCGUGGAUGUGUUUGUGUGUGUCCAGCCUAGCUAUUAGCCUGGAGGCUCCUGGAAGGCAGAGGAACAUCUGUCGUGGUCUCCCCCUGCCCUGACUCCCCAGCAGGGCCCAGGCGGCUGGAGGCUCAGGGGGGUCAGUCAGGCUGGACAGACUUGCAAAUUUGACAGCCAGUGUGGACCAGAAGCCCAAUGUGGUUGACAAGGGCAGCUGGUCAACAGACCAGACGCUGGGAGAGAAAAUAUCAGGCUUCUGUGACUGAUAUGAUUUUAAAUCCUUAUUCACAGGCAGGCCUAGAAUUCUUUUUUUUUUUUUUUAAUUUCAGGAAAAAAAGCUUGAUAGAAUAAAUGUGAUGGUAGUACAUGAA
Molecule: long non-coding RNA, 922 nt
Organism: Mirounga angustirostris (Northern elephant seal)
Lineage: Eukaryota; Metazoa; Chordata; Mammalia; Carnivora; Phocidae
Exons: 5
Source: RefSeq, a predicted model, not a curated record